Long non-coding RNA from Eptesicus fuscus (big brown bat), 329 nucleotides. RefSeq lists it as uncharacterized. The record is from RefSeq and is a predicted model, not a curated record. NCBI's taxonomy places the organism in Eukaryota, Metazoa, Chordata, Mammalia, Chiroptera, Vespertilionidae. The transcript has 3 exons.
ACAAGAGUUCCUAAGGGUUCAAAGAGGUUUGUCUGAAAGGGAGGGGCAGGAAACUUUCCACUAACUAGAGACUCCUGGGUUCAAAUUAUCCAUGAGUUGUGAAAACAGCAGGGAGGAAGGGAAUGCAAGAAUGUAGCUUUGAGAGUACCUUAUCUUGUCCUGCAGUUUGAACAGAGAAGCCAACAAUCUUGAAGUUUAACUUCCAGGUGCUUCUCAUAAAUUGUGAAAGGCCACAGCAAAGAAAAGAGUUACAAGCAUUUAUUCCUGUGAGUCCUGGAACAGCAUCAUCAUCGAAAUUGCAAAGCCUCAGCUCCGGAGCCUCUUGGUAA